Molecule: ribosomal RNA, 484 nt
Filed under: uncultured bacterium
Lineage: Bacteria
Description: partial 16S ribosomal RNA
Rfam family: Bacterial small subunit ribosomal RNA
Source: RNAcentral
AUUGAACGCUGGCGGCAGGCCUAACACAUGCAAGUCGAGCGGAUGAAGGGAGCUUGCUCCUGGAUUCAGCGGCGGACGGGUGAGUAAUGCCUAGGAAUCUGCCUGGUAGUGGGGGAUAACGUCCGGAAACGGGCGUUAAUACCGCAUACGUCCUGAGGGAGAAAGUGGGGGAUCUUCGGACCUCACGCUAUCAGAUGAGCCUAGGUCGGAUUAGCUAGUUGGUGGGGUAAAGGCCUACCAAGGCGACGAUCCGUAACUGGUCUGAGAGGAUGAUCAGUCACACUGGAACUGAGACACGGUCCAGACUCCUACGGGAGGCAGCAGUGGGGAAUAUUGGACAAUGGGCGAAAGCCUGAUCCAGCCAUGCCGCGUGUGUGAAGAAGGUCUUCAGAUUGUAAAGCACUUUAAGUUGGGAGGAAGGGCAGUAAGUUAAUACCUUGCUGUUUUGACGUUACCAACAGAAUAAGCACCGGCUAACUUCGUG